Molecule: ribosomal RNA, 858 nt
Filed under: uncultured euryarchaeote
Lineage: Archaea; Methanobacteriati; Methanobacteriota
Description: bacterial SSU rRNA
Rfam family: Archaeal small subunit ribosomal RNA
Source: RNAcentral
UUCCGGUUGAUCCUGCCGGAGGCGACCGCUUUGGGAGUUCGAUUAAGCCAUGCGAGUCGUGAGUCUUAGGGACUCGGCAUACUGCUCAGUAACACGUGGAUAACCUGCCCUAUCGUCUGGAAUAACCUCGGGAAACUGAGAAUAAGGCCGGAUAGUUCACAAUGCCUGGAACGGUUUGUGAAUCAAGGUAGGAUGGGUCUGCGGCGUAUCAGGUUGUAGGGGGUGUAAAGGACCCCCUAGCCUUCGACGCGUACGGGUGUUGGGAGACAUAGCCCGGAGAUGGAUUCUGAGACACGAAUCCAGACCCUACGGGGUGCAGCAGGCGCGAAAACUUCACACUGCAGGAAACUGUGAUGAGGGAACUCCUAGUGCAUGCACUAUGUGUAUGUAGAUCCUACUCUUAACAAGUAGAGGGAAAGGGCUGGGAAAGACCGGUGCCAGCCGCCGCGGUAAUACCGGCAGCUCAAGUGGUCGUCGCUUUUAUUGGGCCUAAAACGUCCGUAGCCUGUUUGGUAAAUCUGUGGGUAAAUCAAUCCACUCAACGGAUUGAAUUCUGCAGAGACUGCCAGACUAGGGACCGGGAGAGGUGUGGGGUACUCGAGGGGUAGGGGUAAAAUCCUGUCAUCCUUCGAGGACCACCAGUUGCGAAGGCGCCACACUGGAACGGAUCCGACGGUCAGGGACGAAGCCUAGGGGCACGAACCGGAUUAGAUACCCGGGUAGUCCUAGGUGUAAACGCUGUGAACUUGGUGUCGGGGGUCCGCAAGGGGUCCCCGGUGCCGGAGUGAAGAUGUUAAGUUCACUGCCUGGGGAGUACGGUCGCAAGGCUGAAACUUAAAGGAAUUGGCGGGGCAGCAC